UACAGAGGGCGCAAGCGUUGUUCGGAUUCACUGGGCAUAAAGAGCACGUAGGCGGCUACGUAAGUCGGAUGUGAAAUCCCCCGGCUCAACCGGGGAAUGGCAUCCGAUACUGCGUGGCUCGAGGUUGGGAGGGGUGAGCGGAACUCCAGGUGGAACGGUGAAAUGUGUAGAUAUCUGGAGGAACACCGGUGGCGAAGGCGGCUCACUGGCCCGAAUCUGACGCUGAGGUGCGAAAGCUAGGGGAGCGAACGGG
RNAcentral lists this ribosomal RNA (253 nucleotides) under uncultured bacterium. Its description in RNAcentral is "partial 16S ribosomal RNA". It matches the Rfam family "Bacterial small subunit ribosomal RNA", at positions 524 to 776 of the family's 1533-position model. The record is from RNAcentral.